GAAGGCGAUUAGUUUAAGAGAUUAAUUGAUUGACGAUAAUCACAGAAGAAGCACCGGCUAACUCCGUGCCAGCAGCCGCGGUAAUACGGAGGGUGCGAGCGUUAAUCGGAAUGACUGGGCGUAAAGGGCACGCAGGUGGUGACUUAAGUGAGGUGUGAAAUCCCCGGGCUUAACCUGGGAACAGCAUUUCAGACUGGGUGACUAGAGUACUUUAGGGAGGGGUAGAAUUCCACGUGUAGCGGUGAAAUGCGUAGAGAUGUGGAGGAAUACCGAAGGCGACAGGCAGCCCCUUGGGAAGAUACUGACGCUCGAGUGCGAAAGCGUGGGGAGCAAACAGGAUUAGAUACCCUGGUAGUCCACGCUGUAAACGAUGUCGAUUUGGGGAUUGGGUGAACACUUGGUGCCCGAA
This 409-nucleotide ribosomal RNA is filed under the name Histophilus somni. RNAcentral describes it as "bacterial SSU rRNA". It matches the Rfam family "Bacterial small subunit ribosomal RNA", at positions 441 to 850 of the family's 1533-position model. Lineage: Bacteria; Pseudomonadati; Pseudomonadota; Gammaproteobacteria; Pasteurellales; Pasteurellaceae. The record is from RNAcentral.